AAAAAAAAUUGUUCCAUUCUACGGUACAACAAAAUUCAAAGGAAGAGAGUUGGAAAGUUGCGUGCGUGAUGAAGUAAAAGGGCUCUGAAGAGUGUUGCGAUUGCUUUGUUUGGUUUGUUCGCUGAAACAGAGAAUGGAAGUGAGCGGCAAAGUGAAGAUGGCUGCUUCUCUGUGGUUAGAAGGCAUAGGAGAAGCUUGUUGCCUUCACCGCGUUGUUCUUCUGUGUAUGAGGUCCAACAACCUUUUGAUGCGAACUGGCCAAUGUUUCCUCUUAAAUGGUUUCAUUUUCUUAGGAAGUAUAUUCGUCCUAAAGUCAGUUGUGAUCCCUGCAUUGUGGUGGAUAUUACCUGGUCAAUGCUCACAGUUUGUUUCUCAUGAACUGUGUGACUUAGGUGGCACUUUGAAAUUUUAUUCUUUCUUACGUCUUGCACUCAUUCAGCUCUGUUACGUGCUAUGGUUUUACCCAUUGUACGUGUUCAGCAUAGUUCUCAGCACAAUUUGGUACAAUGACAUUGCCAAGUAUGGGUAUGCUGCAAUGGGAAGAUCUAAGCUGACUGUAGAGAAAGGCUCAAGCCAAAACAACUCACCAAGUGUACAAAAUGCUCAUCAUGUAAAAGGACCGUCUGGCUUGGGAGGGGUCAUGAUCGGAAUAGGACAGCAGGUGUACUCGAUACUCCUUUUGAGUGUUUUUUUCCUUGAGGUAUAUGCAACAGGACUCAUACCAUAUAUAGGCAAGCUGAUUAAUUUUUUACUCCUUUCCUGGAUGUAUGCAUAUUACUGCUUCGAGUACAAAUGGAACUUCAAUGAAGUGGCUCUUGACAGAAGGUUGGACUACUUUGAGUCUUACUGGCCAUUUUUUGCGGGAUUCGGGAGCCCAUGUGUUUUGGCCAUAUUCUUUUUCUCUCCCCUUGUUAGUUAUGGGAUUAUGGCUAUACUUUUCCCACUGUUUGUUCUAACAGCAACUGGGUCAGAGUCAGAGCAAGAAAUAUCCUUCGAAAAACAUAAGUGGAGAGCUGCUGGAGUGGAAAGACUUCCAAUAUUUUAUGUUGCAGACAAAGUGUCGUUGUGGAUGUUAUCUCUUUUACCUCUGGAAAAAGGGGACCAGGUGCAAGACAGAAAAGAACAAUAAGGUUGUCGUGGUCAGUUAUUCUGGCAUUGCUGAUGACAAGUGAGAACACAAAAAGAUUUGUCCUCAAAGCCUGACCAAUUUUAUGUAACAACUGAUGUGAUGGGUUGCACACGUGAUUUCAGAAUUCAGACGCAGAGAGAUCCAAAAUCACCAAACUGGACCACAUUACAGACAAAAUUACUGUAUAGGAAUCUACUCCUUCCUAACAUUUCAUACAAACCAUGCUGUAUUUACAACAUUCAAAUUUCAAGUGUGCAUAUAUCUUUGAAGCAGUGUGAUGGAAUACUAAUGUCAGGGUUUGAGAUUUGUUUUGUUA
This is an RNA transcript of Vigna unguiculata (cowpea), 1445 nucleotides long. It is a transcript of the gene named etoposide-induced protein, with no coding region annotated. NCBI's taxonomy places the organism in Eukaryota, Viridiplantae, Streptophyta, Magnoliopsida, Fabales, Fabaceae. The record is from RefSeq and is a predicted model, not a curated record.